ASGCGGRCWGCGGAUUAUUCGAUGCAACGCGAGAACCUUACCAAGGCUUGACAUACACGAGAACGCCCUAKAAAUAGGGAACUCUUUGGACACUCGUGAACAGGUGGUGCMUGGUUGUCGUCAGCUCGUGUCGUGAGAUGUUGGGUUAAGUCCCGCAACGAGCGCAACCCUCGUUCUAUGUUGCCAGCGCGUAAUGGCGGGAACUCAUAGGAGACUGCCGGGGUCAACUCGGAGGAAGGUGGGGAUGACGUCAAAUCAUCAUGCCCCUUAUGUCUUGGGCUUCACGCAUGCUACAAUGGCCGGUACAAAGGGCUGCAAUACCGUAAGGUGGAGCGAAUCCCAAAAAGCCGGUCUCAGUUCGGAUUGAGGUCUGCAACUCGACCUCAUGAAGUCGGAGUCGCUAGUAAUCGCAGAUCAGCAACGCUGCGGUGAAUACKUUCCCGGGCCUUGUACACACRGAKKG
Molecule: ribosomal RNA, 463 nt
Filed under: Leifsonia sp. SNMS27
Lineage: Bacteria; Bacillati; Actinomycetota; Actinomycetes; Micrococcales; Microbacteriaceae
Description: bacterial SSU rRNA
Rfam family: Bacterial small subunit ribosomal RNA
Source: RNAcentral